Molecule: long non-coding RNA, 233 nt
Filed under: Lathyrus oleraceus (garden pea)
Lineage: Eukaryota; Viridiplantae; Streptophyta; Magnoliopsida; Fabales; Fabaceae
Description: Pisum sativum (pea) long non-coding RNA (PSAT_LNC014712)
Source: RNAcentral
CCACAAAAGAAACAAUAGAAAGAAAAAUUUGCUCUAAUAUCUACAAUAGAAAAAUAGAAUAAUCUAAACGAGUUCUUCGCAUAUAAGGGCAACCGAAGAACUACAACAAAAUAAAAAAUAAAAAUAAAAAUAAAAUAAAAACUCUAGUCUAUGCAGUGAUUAAACAAAAAUUCAAUAUUAAACAUAAUUGGUCUCUGACAGCGACGCCAAAAACUUGAUGCAGCUGCAAGUGC